GAUGAACGCUAGCUACAGGCUUAACACAUGCAAGUCGAGGGGAAACGACAUCGAAAGCUUGCUUUUGAUGGGCGUCGACCGGCGCACGGGUGAGUAACGCGUAUCCAACCUGCCCAUCACUUGGGGAUAACCUUGCGAAAGUAAGACUAAUACCCAAUGAUAUCUCUAGAAGACAUCUGAAAGAGAUUAAAGAUUUAUCGGUGAUGGAUGGGGAUGCGUCUGAUUAGCUUGUUGGCGGGGUAACGGCCCACCAAGGCAACGAUCAGUAGGGGUUCUGAGAGGAAGGUCCCCCACAUUGGAACUGAGACACGGUCCAAACUCCUACGGGAGGCAGCAGUGAGGAAUAUUGGUCAAUGGGCGAGAGCCUGAACCAGCCAAGUAGCGUGCAGGAAGACGGCCCUAUGGGUUGUAAACUGCUUUUAUAAGAGAAUAAAGUGAGAGUCGUGACUCUUUUUGUAUGUACCUUAUGAAUAAGGACCGGCUAAUUCCGUG
RNAcentral lists this ribosomal RNA (492 nucleotides) under uncultured bacterium. Its description in RNAcentral is "partial 16S ribosomal RNA". It matches the Rfam family "Bacterial small subunit ribosomal RNA", at positions 28 to 507 of the family's 1533-position model. The record is from RNAcentral.